GCACUGUUGAGGGGUCCCACAAUAGGAUGAAACGGCCGUCCAGUGC
This 46-nucleotide non-coding RNA is filed under the name Schistosoma margrebowiei. The record is from RNAcentral. Lineage: Eukaryota; Metazoa; Platyhelminthes; Trematoda; Strigeidida; Schistosomatidae.